Molecule: unclassified non-coding RNA, 253 nt
Filed under: uncultured Alphaproteobacteria bacterium
Lineage: Bacteria; Pseudomonadati; Pseudomonadota; Alphaproteobacteria
Description: contains 16S-23S intergenic spacer region
Rfam family: Bacterial small subunit ribosomal RNA
Source: RNAcentral
GACGGAGGGGGCUAGCGUUGUUCGGAAUCACUGGGCGUAAAGCGCGCGUAGGCGGCUUAUCAAGUUGGGCGUGAAAGCCCGGGGCUCAACCCCGGAAAUGCGCCCAAAACUGGUAGGCUUGAGACCGAGAGAGGGUGGUGGAAUUCCCAGUGUAGAGGUGAAAUUCGUAGAUAUUGGGAAGAACACCAGUGGCGAAGGCGGCCACCUGGCUCGGAUCUGACGCUGAGGCGCUAAAGCAUGAGGAGCAAACAGG